Molecule: RNA transcript, 1549 nt
Organism: Amaranthus tricolor (Joseph's coat)
Lineage: Eukaryota; Viridiplantae; Streptophyta; Magnoliopsida; Caryophyllales; Amaranthaceae
Exons: 2
Source: RefSeq, a predicted model, not a curated record
UCUUCCUCUUCUAGCUUCUUUUAAAAGCUUCUAAAGCUUCUGUAUCAGAAUCAAGAUUAUCUUGAUUCCUUUGCAUUCUUACAGUCUUUCAUGGUAUCGGAGCAAGAUCUCGCUCCUACUGCUUCCGCCUUAUCCUUUUUCUUCAUCCUUUGAUUUUUUUUCUUCCCUCUUAAAAAUGGCUGAUUCAGAAACGCCAUUUUCUAAACAUGCUGAAUCACCUUUGACAAUCAAUGAUGAAAUCUCGUUAACAAAUAAUCCUGAAAUUCCAGUUCAAAGCAAUAUGAAUUUCAAUUUUGAUGAUCCUUAUUUUCUUUCUUCUUCUGACAUUUCACAACAUUCUAUUGUUGCUCUUCUUUUUUCGGGUUCUAACUAUGUCAACUGGAGUAGAUCUGUGAAGAUGGCUUUAUAUGCAAGAAAUAAGGUGAGUUUUAUUGAUGGAUCUCUUUUUAAACCGUCUGUUUCUUCCUCUGAUUUCAAGAAAUGGAUCCGAAAUGAUUACAUUGUAAGAUCUUGGAUCAUCAAUUCCAUGGAAAGAGGUAUUGCAGAAACUUUUAUGUUUGUUGAUUCAGCUUAUCAAUUGUGGAAGGAAGUUAAAGAUAGAUAUGGUCAAAGCAAUGUGCCUCAAUUGUUUGAUCUACACAGAUCUCUUUUUCUUAUUGAACAGAAAGAUUCUUCCAUUAAUGAAUAUUAUGCUAAAAAAAAGAGAAUAUGGGAUGAAAUUCAUGACCUAGAAGGCUUUCCUGAUUGUUCUUGUGGUAUUCUUGCUAAUUGUUCUUGUGGAAUUCUUACAAAAAUUUAGAUGCUGACAAUAGAAUGAAGUUAAUUCAAUUUCUUUCCGGCAUCAACCCAGCCUAUGAUCAAGUUAAAACAAACAUUCUUAGUACUGAUCCUUUACCUAACAUCAAUAAAGUAUAUCACAUUUUACAAUCUGUUGAGAGACAACAUCAGAAUAACCUUUAUACAAGUCAUUCAAAUGAUAUUAGUGCUUUUGCUGCUCAUCAACUCAAACCUGAUAAUUCUGCUGGUAUGAGGAAGGAUUCCAAGAAAACUAAGUUUGAAAGAGUAUGUGAGCAUUGUAAAGGCAAAGGUCACACGAUUGAUCAAUGUUUCAAGCUUAUAGGCUAUCCUGAGUGGUAUACAAACAAGAAAGGUAAAUCUGUUUCUAGAACAGCUGCAAAUGUUCAAGUUGAUAAUUCUGGAAUUCUUGGGUCUAUUCCUUGUUCUAGUUCCUCUGGAAAGAUGUCUUCUCCUGUUAUUGAUCCUCAAAUGCUAUUUGUUGUAUGCAAGGAAGUUAUUAAAUGCAUGAAUCAAUCUUCUAUAUCUACUGAUCCUCUUACUUCUUCCUAUACAAAUGUGAACUCUGCAGGACCUUACAACUAAUGAGGUCAAAGCCACUGCUAUGAGAACAUCAGGCUUAUAUCUUUUGUCUUCUUCAGUUUCUUCAUCUCAUAUUUCCCCUAAUAAUUUUGUUGUUAAUACAGCAUGUUCUUCUUCUAGUCUUGAUUUACUUCAUGCAAGAUUAGGCCAUGUUUCUUUUUCUACUAUGAAA